UUAAAUUGAAGAGUUUGAUCAUGGCUCAGAUUGAACGCUGGCGGCAGGCCUAACACAUGCAAGUCGAACGGUAACAGGAAGCAGCUUGCUGCUUUGCUGACGAGUGGCGGACGGGUGAGUAAUGUCUGGGAAACUGCCUGAUGGAGGGGGAUAACUACUGGAAACGGUGGCUAAUACCGCAUAACGUCGCAAGACCAAAGAGGGGGACCUUCGGGCCUCUUGCCAUCAGAUGUGCCCAGAUGGGAUUAGCUUGUUGGUGAGGUAACGGCUCACCAAGGCGACGAUCCCUAGCUGGUCUGAGAGGAUGACCAGCCACACUGGAACUGAGACACGGUCCAGACUCCUACGGGAGGCAGCAGUGGGGAAUAUUGCACAAUGGGCGCAAGCCUGAUGCAGCCAUGCCGCGUGUAUGAAGAAGGCCUUCGGGUUGUAAAGUACUUUCAGCGGGGAGGAAGGUGUUGCGGUUAAUAACCGCAGCAAUUGACGUUACCCGCAGAAGAAGCACCGGCUAACUCCGUGCCAGCAGCCGCGGUAAUACGGAGGGUGCAAGCGUUAAUCGGAAUUACUGGGCGUAAAGCGCACGCAGGCGGUCUGUCAAGUCGGAUGUGAAAUCCCCGGGCUCAACCUGGGAACUGCAUUCGAAACUGGCAGGCUUGAGUCUUGUAGAGGGGGGUAGAAUUCCAGGUGUAGCGGUGAAAUGCGUAGAGAUCUGGAGGAAUACCGGUGGCGAAGGCGGCCCCCUGGACAAAGACUGACGCUCAGGUGCGAAAGCGUGGGGAGCAAACAGGAUUAGAUACCCUGGUAGUCCACGCCGUAAACGAUGUCUACUUGGAGGUUGUGCCCUUGAGGCGUGGCUUCCGGAGCUAACGCGUUAAGUAGACCGCCUGGGGAGUACGGCCGCAAGGUUAAAACUCAAAUGAAUUGACGGGGGCCCGCACAAGCGGUGGAGCAUGUGGUUUAAUUCGAUGCAACGCGAAGAACCUUACCUGGUCUUGACAUCCACAGAACUUUCCAGAGAUGGAUUGGUGCCUUCGGGAACUGUGAGACAGGUGCUGCAUGGCUGUCGUCAGCUCGUGUUGUGAAAUGUUGGGUUAAGUCCCGCAACGAGCGCAACCCUUAUCCUUUGUUGCCAGCGGUCCGGCCGGGAACUCAAAGGAGACUGCCAGUGAUAAACUGGAGGAAGGUGGGGAUGACGUCAAGUCAUCAUGGCCCUUACGACCAGGGCUACACACGUGCUACAAUGGCGCAUACAAAGAGAAGCGACCUCGCGAGAGCAAGCGGACCUCAUAAAGUGCGUCGUAGUCCGGAUUGGAGUCUGCAACUCGACUCCAUGAAGUCGGAAUCGCUAGUAAUCGUGGAUCAGAAUGCCACGGUGAAUACGUUCCCGGGCCUUGUACACACCGCCCGUCACACCAUGGGAGUGGGUUGCAAAAGAAGUAGGUAGCUUAACCUUCGGGAGGGCGCUUACCACUUUGUGAUUCAUGACUGGGGUGAAGUCGUAACAAGGUAACCGUAGGGGAACCUGCGGUUGGAUCACCUCCUUACCUUAAAGAAGC
RNAcentral lists this ribosomal RNA (1556 nucleotides) under Salmonella enterica subsp. enterica serovar Heidelberg. RNAcentral's name for it is "bacterial SSU rRNA". It matches the Rfam family "Bacterial small subunit ribosomal RNA". The record is from RNAcentral. Lineage: Bacteria; Pseudomonadati; Pseudomonadota; Gammaproteobacteria; Enterobacterales; Enterobacteriaceae. RNAcentral also lists the same sequence under 1 other name.